GCCCGGAUGGCGAAAUCGGUAGACGCACCAGACUUAAAAUCUGUCGGGAGCAAUCCCAUGCCGGUUCGAUCCCGGCUCCGGGCACCA
This 87-nucleotide transfer RNA is filed under the name Pseudoxanthomonas composti. RNAcentral's name for it is "Pseudoxanthomonas sp. GSS15 tRNA-Leu". It matches the Rfam family "tRNA". From Rfam's summary of the family: Transfer RNA (tRNA) molecules are approximately 80 nucleotides in length. Their secondary structure includes four short double-helical elements and three loops (D, anti-codon, and T loops). The record is from RNAcentral. Lineage: Bacteria; Pseudomonadati; Pseudomonadota; Gammaproteobacteria; Lysobacterales; Lysobacteraceae.